Molecule: ribosomal RNA, 986 nt
Filed under: Paenibacillus sp. enrichment culture clone DF200
Lineage: Bacteria; Bacillati; Bacillota; Bacilli; Caryophanales; Paenibacillaceae
Description: bacterial SSU rRNA
Rfam family: Bacterial small subunit ribosomal RNA
Source: RNAcentral
UAGAGUUUGAUCCUGGCUCAGGACGAACGCUGGCGGCGUGCCUAAUACAUGCAAGUCGAGCGGACUUGAUGGAGUGCUUGCACUCCUGAUGGUUAGCGGCGGACGAGUGAGUAACACGUAGGCAACCUGCCUGUAAGACUGGGAUAACUCACGGAAACGUGUGCUAAUACCGGAUACGCGGUGCCCUCGCAUGAGGGCGUCGGGAAAGACGGAGCAAUCUGUCACUUAUAGAUGGGCCUGCGGCGCAUUAGCUAGUUGGAGAGGUAACGGCUCCCCAAGGCGACGAUGCGUAGCCGACCUGAGAGGGUGAUCGGCCACACUGGGACUGAGACACGGCCCAGACUCCUACGGGAGGCAGCAGUAGGGAAUCUUCCGCAAUGGACGAAAGUCUGACGGAGCAACGCCGCGUGAGUGAUGAAGGUUUUCGGAUCGUAAAGCUCUGUUGCCAGGGAAGAACGCCAUCCAGUUAACUGCUGGGUGGGUGACGGUACCUGAGAAGAAAGCCCCGGCUAACUACGUGCCAGCAGCCGCGGUAAUACGUAGGGGGCAAGCGUUGUCCGGAAUUAUUGGGCGUAAAGCGCGCGCAGGCGGUCUUUUAAGUCAGGUGUUUAAGCCCGGGGCUCAACCUCGGUUCGCACCUGAAACUGGGAGACUUGAGUGCAGGAGAGGAAAGUGGAAUUCCACGUGUAGCGGUGAAAUGCGUAGAGAUGUGGAGGAACACCAGUGGCGAAGGCGACUUUCUGGCCUGUAACUGACGCUGAGGCGCGAAAGCGUGGGGAGCAAACAGGAUUAGAUACCCUGGUAGUCCACGCCGUAAACGAUGUCUACUUGGAGGUUGUGGCCUUGAGCCGUGGCUUUCGGAGCUAACGCGUUAAGUAGACCGCCUGGGGAGUACGGUCGCAAGAUUAAAACUCAAAUGAAUUGACGGGGGCCCGCACAAGCGGUGGAGCAUGUGGUUUAAUUCGAUGCAACGCGAAGAACCUUAC